Rhinopithecus roxellana (golden snub-nosed monkey) is the source of this 2426-nucleotide long non-coding RNA. RefSeq lists it as uncharacterized. The record is from RefSeq and is a predicted model, not a curated record. The transcript has 3 exons. NCBI's taxonomy places the organism in Eukaryota, Metazoa, Chordata, Mammalia, Primates, Cercopithecidae.
AAAACAAGAUUCACUGGAAGUGCCAUUGGGACAGCAGAGCAGCAGAGGGUGAGGAGGUUCUGUCAGGUCUCUGGCUGGUCUUGUAAACCACACCCCAGGGUGGGGCCAGGGUUUUUAGGCUCAGGCCUCUCUGAUAUGGUAGGCAGGUAUGAAGAGAAUCUUUUCAACUUUUUUUAACCAUUAAUCUUUCUCAAUGCAGCAGGAGACCAUGGGGGUCCUGGGUCUGGGGCUCUGCUUUUCUUCUGAAGCUGAGCCAGGUUCAGUAUCAAGGAGCUGACAUCAAGACACUAAUUGUGAGGGAAAGGAAAGAACAUCUUUAGUUUCCUGAGAUGUUCUGUGGUUCUGUAUGGCUGUUACUCACCAGGAUCUCUAGAGACAGCCCAUCUCCCUCCCUCAACUGAUGUCACCAAAUUCUGAAUGAAAACAACUCCAGGCAAAUAAUGUUCACCACUCCACUUCCUUGUUCCUCCACACCUGCUACUUUGGAUUCAGAAGAGAAUUUCCAAGAAUCCCUGAGUCCACAGCCUGACUCUGGUUUGCAGAACCUGUGUCCAUACCAGCCAGAUGUGAAUACAAAGGAAAGUGACACAUCCUGGAUCUCAACCCACUUCGUUGGGAAGUCUUCCUGAUAAAUUUAGAGAUAACCCAAAGCCCUGGGGACUUCCUCUUGAUUUGAAUCUGCUCUACAUCUGCCCCCUAUCCCCCACCCACAGCAGAUGAAAACAUCAACUCUGCAGAAUUAAUGGAUAUGGGAAUCACCUGGGGACUUCUCCUUAAACUGCAAAUCAUGAUUCAGAGGGUCUGGGGAGGGACCUGAGACUCUGCACUUCUAACAAGCUUGACCGGGGCUGGAGAACCUUCCAUCACUCCACCAAUGCUCACCAUCACUGCCAUUCUCGCUCUUCUUUCUCGGGCCCUUGCCCAUUUUCUCCACCGUAUCCUUCUUUUAUCCUAUUCUUUUCCUCUUUUCAUCCUUCUUUUUUCUUCCCAGCCAUCUCACUAUUCCUAUAUCCCUACUAACCCCCCAACACUUCUUCACUCAAAGAUAAAGAAACUCCUACCCUUUCUUCCUCCAGACACUCAUCUCCCUCCCUCCUCUCCUCAGCUUUGUAGUGCCAGGAAAAGAAAGAUCACCAUUUAUUGACAAUUUUGUGUGAAGCACUGUCCCAAGUGCAUUACCCAUAUUGUUUAAUUCUCACAACAACCCUGCAAAGUACACAUUAUUUCUGCCAUUUUAGACAUGAGAAAAUUGAGACUUGGGAUGGUUAAAGAAAUCUUGUCCUUAACUAGGAAGUAGUGAGCUAAGAUUAGAAUUUAGAUCCGUCUGAGACCAAAGUCUACAACUUUUAUACUGCACCAUGCUCAUAUAAGGUGAAUAAUCUAGAAAGCAGCUGGUAGGAGUGGCUUCAGCAAAAAGGAAUGGAAUACCACAAGCUUCACCCCAUUUAUGCAUCCUGAACACUUCACUCCACUUUUGCUAAGUAGAUGCCCUAUGAGACAGCUUGACAUACCAAUAAUGAGAGCUGUUUCAAGAAUGCCCAGAUUAAAAUGAUGGUUGGGACCUAAAUAGCACAGUAGUAAUAUUAAAGCCCAAAGUUGCCAAUAUGCUCAAUUUUCAAUGUAACCUUUUAUUAUAAAUUAAGAUCCAUAACUGUACGCACAGAGUCUGUUACCAAAAAAGAAAUUCCUUCCAUUGGCCAAGUAUUCAACCACAUGAAGUCUACCAAAGGACAGUGCCAAGCCUCCCAUCAGUCCACACAGGAUCCAUCUUGGACGGAUAGCCAGUUUCUUUCUCUGUCUCUAGUUUCUCUUCCUUGAUUUCACCUCUAGGAUCCCCUCACUCUCUUAUUGUCCUUUGCCUUGUCCUCAAGAUCCUGCCAAGAGUCCUGGCUUCCCACCUGGGAGCAUGUACCAGUUCUUCAAACCUUUGUGUGUUUCUGACACCUCAGACUACAGCAUCUACAAGAUAGACAAAGAGUUCUCUUGCUUAUACUGGCCCUCUCCCUCCCUUGACUUUUAUCAGAUACACCAAAACAAAACAAAAAAUUCCUUUUAAAUUCUGUUAAAGAUCCUGCAAGAUGUGAAGGGAGGAGAAAAGGCAGGGGCUCUGUAUGAGGAAAAUUCCAUCUUGACAUACAAAAAUAUUAAAAGUCUAUAUACUCAAAGGAGAAGUGAAGAAUCAGACUUUUGCAUGUGGAACAGACAGGGAAACUGGGAGCAAUAUGGUGUAGUCAUCAGAUGUGGGUUCUAAAUUCAUCUCUGCUACUAACCGGCAGUGCAACCUUGGGUAAGCUGUGCAUUUUUCUCAAUACCAGUUUCUUCAUCUUUAAAGUGUGGAGAUUGGAUUGAACAAUUACUAAGAUUCCUUUGAUCUCUACCCUGCAGUGUCUUCUCUGGCACCUAAAAUAAAAUAAACCAGAAAUUAA